GCUGGCACCGUUCGCCUGCGCGCUCGGCGAGGACGCGGCGGACUUCGGAUGUCCGGUGCUCGGUGGCGAUACGGUCUCGACGCCGGGACCGCUGAUGAUUUCGAUCACGGCGUUCGGCCGUGUGCCGCCGGNNNNNNGGACCGGUGCGAAGCCGGGCGACCGGAUCGCGGUCACCGGCACCAUCGGCGAUGCGGCGCUGGGCUUGCGCGUUCUCAAGGGCAAGAUCGCGGGCGAGGGGCUC
Molecule: unclassified non-coding RNA, 241 nt
Filed under: Hevea brasiliensis (rubber tree)
Lineage: Eukaryota; Viridiplantae; Streptophyta; Magnoliopsida; Malpighiales; Euphorbiaceae
Source: RNAcentral